UGAGAAAUGAAUAUUUCUAAAAAUGUGAAAGGCCAUCCAAAGUGGCUAUUUAAAAAGUAAGAGAAUGGUCAAUGAACAGGUAAAGUGUGUUAAGAACAGUAAGGGGAAAACUAAAUAAAAAACAUGAGUUCCUGACAAGGUCUUUAUCUAUGGUAUGUGUUUAAUUAUUACAUCUUGAGCCAGCUACAGUACGUAACAGCAAGCAAACAAAACCAAAUGUAUAUAUCAAUAGCAUACCAAUUAUACUGAUAAAUUGCAGACAAAGGUAGCAAAACAAAGAUUUAAAAUUUCUCAGGUCUCCAGUCCUCCAGUACACCUGACAUAUCACCUAAAGACUUUUAACUAUUUGUAGUUUUGAAACAAACACUCAGAGAAUGACAUUUGGCCAACAAUGAUGAAAACAUAGUAAAGGGAUUUGUUUUUUGGCCUUAUUUCAUAGCCAGUUUGGAAAAAGUGUGACAAAAACACUUAAAACUGUAAAACAGAAAAACUGGCAACUGUAGCCUCAAGUAUUCAAAAUGUUUUACCCAUCAGGUGGAGACACUGUGACUCCCUACAUGAAAUUUUAAAAAAGUAUAUUUUACUGGAAUGUUCCAAACAACAAAACCAAAAAAUGUAAGUGUGUGAGCCACAAGUCAUGCCUAAUUAUUUACUCAAAACAUGUGUUACUUUUCCUUCAAUAUUUGUUUUCCCAUUUGUCACAAAUCUCUGUCCCUACAUUAGACAAUGCAGACCUGAACAACAUCCCAUUUUCCAGUUU
This is a long non-coding RNA of Erpetoichthys calabaricus (reedfish), 760 nucleotides long. RefSeq lists it as uncharacterized. Lineage: Eukaryota; Metazoa; Chordata; Cladistia; Polypteriformes; Polypteridae. The record is from RefSeq and is a predicted model, not a curated record. The transcript has 3 exons.